AGAGUUUGAUCAUGGCUCAGGACGAACGCUGGCGGCGUGCUUAACACAUGCAAGUCGAACGGAAUCCAUGGUGUAGCAAUACACCGGAAGAUUUAGUGGCGAACGGGUGAGGAUCACGUGAGAAACCUGCCCCAGACUUUGGGAUAACAAUUGGAAACGAUUGCUAAUACCGAAUGACGUCGGAGAACCGCAUGGUUCACUGACGAAAGGAAAUCCGGUUUGGGAGGGUCUCGCGGCCUAUCAGCUUGUUGGUGGGGUAAUGGCCUACCAAGGCAACGACGGGUAGCUGGUCUGAGAGGAUGAUCAGCCACACUGGGACUGAGACACGGCCCAGACUCCUACGGGAGGCAGCAGUGGGGAAUCUUGCGCAAUGGGCGAAAGCCUGACGCAGCAACGCCGCGUGCGGGAUGAAGGCCUUCGGGCUGUAAACCGCUUUCAGCAGGAACGAAAAUGACGGUACCUGCAGAAGAAGGAGCGGCCAACUACGUGCCAGCAGCCGCGGUGACACGUAGGCUCCAAGCGUUGUCCGGAUUUAUUGGGCGUAAAGAGCUCGUAGGCGGUUUAGUAAGUCGGGUGUUAAAACUCUGGGCUCAACCCGGAGAGGCCAUCCGAUACUGCUGUGACUUGAGUUCAGGAGGGGAGCGGGGAAUUCCUAGUGUAGCGGUGAAAUGCGCAGAUAUUAGGAGGAACACCGGUGGCGAAGGCGCCGCUCUGGACUGAAACUGACGCUGAGGAGCGAAAGCAUGGGUAGCAAACAGGAUUAGAUACCCUGGUAGUCCAUGCCGUAAACGGUGGGCACUAGGUGUGGGUUCCAACUAACGGGAUCCGCGCCGUCGCUAACGCAUUAAGUGCCCCGCCUGGGGAGUACGGUC
This 872-nucleotide ribosomal RNA is filed under the name uncultured bacterium. RNAcentral describes it as "bacterial SSU rRNA". It matches the Rfam family "Bacterial small subunit ribosomal RNA", at positions 8 to 887 of the family's 1533-position model. The record is from RNAcentral.